UUCAGCCAGACACCAACACCCUUCAUAAAGAAAGACAAAGAGAUUAAAUUAGUGUUGACCUUGAGUUACCCUUCCAGGCAGCUUGGGUUCAUGGAAAGUCUUGCCUUGGAAAGAGUUAGUGGAUCAAAAUUUGGGUUUUCAGUUCCCUGGCUCAGCUUUGAUGCUACAAAACACCUUUUGCAAUUGUGGGAAUUGGGAGUCUUGGAUCAGGAGCACAUUAUCCUCUGAUGAAAGAUGAGCAGACAAAUUCUUAGUGUCACAAAUGCAAACUAAGAAGAAAAGAAACCCACAGAGCUUCAACCUUCCUGGCUGAUCCUCCAGAAAAAUUAGCAGGGCAGUUACUUAAGAUGGAUAGAAGGAAAAUCUUUCAUGGGAGUAAAGAGCCAGUGGGACUCACUCACACAGGUCAUGGGAGGAAAAGACACAAAGUCAUUCUUCACACUCUGAUUGGCCAUUAAUGACAAAUAGUAAUUAGCAAUGUAAGUAACCUUUCAGCAGAGCUUUUAAUCCUCACACAUUCAGGCUGUUUGGGAUGGCACUGAGGCUGUUUAGGCUGAAAGCAGCGGGUUUUUAAUCUUUGUGAUUUAGGUAAUAGAAAAGCCACUAUAGGGAAAGAGAAUCUCUUUAUCCAGGUAAGGAAAGGGUCAAAAGUGCAGUAAUCUGCAAAUGCUGUUGCAAUUCAGCAGCUCUGCAUCCUUUAUUUUAAUAUUUAAAAAAAAAUCAGUAUUUUUCUUUCAGUAUCCCAUUUUCAGGAUCUGAUUUUCAUGCAACCUUUAACAUGCUUUGUAAAUCUUCCAGUUCUUUAUUACCCAAGACAUUCUCCUCUUACCACCAUCUGAUUUUUUUUUUCUUAGCAAACUCCUUCUACAGAUGGAGAAUCUUCAGAUUUCAUAAAUCUGGUGGACCUGGGCUGGAGGGAGAAGGAGGAGCAGGCAACAGAAGCUAAAAUGCUACACUGUCCCAGUCUAUCAGGCUUGGCUUGCUGAAAACUGAGAGGUCAGAAGGAGCUGCUCUAAUCUGUGGUAAGUCUGGCCCCACCAUGCUGUCUGGAGAGAGUCUCUCCCUGCAGGGUGAAGGAGUUCAAGUCCAACUCGGAUAAUGAGUAAAAUUAGUUUCAGCAUCUCAAGAACCCUAAAAAAACUCCUGCUCAGAUCCCAUGGAUUGACCUGGCCCUCUCUCCAUGACUGCCGGACCCCAGCAGCUUUGGGGAGCAGUGGUGCAGAGGUGAUCAGAGGAGCUGUGUUUUUCUCCUUCCCACUCCACCACACUCUCACCCCUGCCAGGAGAAUGGCAUCCACCCCACAGAUCUCAGGAUAUCAGCACCGUGGACAAACCACAGCUCCCAGCUGGAUUUGUCCCUCUGUCCCUUUCCACGGCUACCUGCAUUGAAGACAAAAAGCUGAGCCAUGAUCUCUGCAGCUGGCACAGCUGGCAAAUCCUUCUGGGACAGGAGUAAUGCCGUAUCCUCAGGCAUGGGACAGCACCUUUUCCUCUCCCCAUAUAUUCACUGCCCUGUGCAAAGAGGAGAACUGUCCCCACCAGCACAAGGGAGGCAGGGGACAAUGAUGGGCAGCAGCAAUCACUCUCCUGAACACACAAACCUUCACCUUGCUGCCGACCAAAAACCCUGCCAGGGGCUCACACCAACCUCCUCCU
Molecule: long non-coding RNA, 1656 nt
Organism: Passer domesticus (house sparrow)
Lineage: Eukaryota; Metazoa; Chordata; Aves; Passeriformes; Passeridae
Exons: 3
Source: RefSeq, a predicted model, not a curated record